Molecule: non-coding RNA, 44 nt
Organism: Ixodes scapularis (black-legged tick)
Lineage: Eukaryota; Metazoa; Arthropoda; Arachnida; Ixodida; Ixodidae
Source: Rfam
CCCUCGGCUUUUUAAAGCCACCAUGAGAAAAAAAAUCAAUGUGU